GCGACCCCAGGACGGGCGAGGCCACCCGCCGAGUUUAAGCAUAUCAAUAAGCGNAGGAGAAG
Molecule: ribosomal RNA, 62 nt
Filed under: Dichaea campanulata
Lineage: Eukaryota; Viridiplantae; Streptophyta; Magnoliopsida; Asparagales; Orchidaceae
Description: partial 26S ribosomal RNA
Source: RNAcentral